GAACACCAAUAAUCAGUAGAUCCUCUUAUGCUCCGAAUCCUCUAAACUCGACCCUCACAUUCUUCUCACCGAUCCCUUCAUUGCAGGCACUUGCCUGAGUGUGCCUCGGCGUUGAGGACAAGUUCUUGCUGCUCUUACUAUCCCAAAGCCACUGAGUCUCUGAGGUUAAUGUUGAAGUAUUGUGCUACUUAUACUAGUGUGUAUUGGAGAAACGCUGGUGAAAACCAACCGGAUGAUCAAGUCCCCGAAUAUGGAAUUCGCGUCGAUUUUGAUAUUCCGGUGACCACCCGUUGCCUUCAGUGUCAGGACACAUCUAAAGGAUGCAGAUCAUAGCUUUUCUCAGCAUAGGAGGAAUGGAGUACUUGCAGGGACGAUUAGUGGAGUGACAGUUGCAAGAGCCUUUGGAGUUGGAGCUGGAAUUUGGUACAUGAAAAAAUUGAGAGCUAAAGCACCAGUAACAUGUGGGUUCAGAGCAAUGAGAAUAGGCUUUUCUAAAGGCACUAACCAAAUUACUUGAUGCCUUGGAGCUGAGCAGGCUAACUAUGAAGCAAAAUCUCGAUGUCCAGUCUUCAAAUCCCGAUGCCAUCACUUGAUCUUGCUCCAUCUUUGACCUCCUAGCCACUUUUUGCCCAGCCGAUACCCAGUAACUUGAUGUAUCAAACCUAGAAGAUAGUUAUUGUAGUUUUUUCUAUUUUUGUUCGGACAUCUUGUAUGUACAUUUUCAUAUAUUUUAUAAUUAAAUACUUUUUCUUGGUUUA
This is a long non-coding RNA of Pyrus x bretschneideri (Chinese white pear), 758 nucleotides long. RefSeq lists it as uncharacterized. The record is from RefSeq and is a predicted model, not a curated record. Lineage: Eukaryota; Viridiplantae; Streptophyta; Magnoliopsida; Rosales; Rosaceae. The transcript is spliced from 3 exons.